GACGAACGCUGGCGGCGUGCUUAACACAUGCAAGUCGAACGGAAAGGCCCCUUUGGGGGUACUCGAGUGGCGAACGGGUGAGUAACACGUGAGUAACCUGCCCUUGACUUCGGGAUAACUUCAGGAAACUGGGGCUAAUACCGGAUAGGAAUCCUUGCUGCAUGGUGGGGGUUGGAAAGCUUCGGCGGUUUUGGAUGGACUCGCGGCUUAUCAGCUUGUUGGUGGGGUAGUGGCUUACCAAGGCUUUGACGGGUAGCCGGCCUGAGAGGGCGACCGGCCACAUUGGGACUGAGAUACGGCCCAGACUCCUACGGGAGGCAGCAGUGGGGAAUAUUGCACAAUGGGCGGAAGCCUGAUGCAGCAACGCCGCGUGCGGGAUGACGGCCUUCGGGUUGUAAACCGCUUUCAGCAGGGGCGAAGCUUUGUGACGUACCUGC
This 437-nucleotide ribosomal RNA is filed under the name Cutibacterium avidum. Its description in RNAcentral is "bacterial SSU rRNA". It matches the Rfam family "Bacterial small subunit ribosomal RNA", at positions 28 to 482 of the family's 1533-position model. The record is from RNAcentral. Lineage: Bacteria; Bacillati; Actinomycetota; Actinomycetes; Propionibacteriales; Propionibacteriaceae.